This 696-nucleotide long non-coding RNA is filed under the name Homo sapiens (human). Its description in RNAcentral is "HSALNT0082542". Lineage: Eukaryota; Metazoa; Chordata; Mammalia; Primates; Hominidae. The record is from RNAcentral.
GCCCCUUCAACCAGAUCACUUCCGCUGAAAGUUUGCAUCUCCCAGUAUCAGUGUUGGGGAAGCCAAAUGAAAUCUAUCAAUCCCAGUUCAGAAUGUAAAGAAACUGAAGAUCCUCUUUCCCCAUAUGGAUUAUUAUAUCAUCAUAGCAUUUGGAGAAGCCAAGAUCAACAAAAAAGCAGUUAGCAGUGAGAGAAGCUGCAGCCUGUUGAGACUCCACAAGACUGAAGAUAUGAAAAGAGGAAAUAUGCAUGAAUGCCCGCACGGAGAACCACCCCCACCUGCUGCUCCCGCUCUAAUGAUCACGCCCAUUAUCAACUGGGGGAUGGCUCUGUGCCUUGUCCUUGCAUUACAUGGACCAAGAACACUUCACAGGACUCAGAGAGGAACCCGAAAGGAAGAAGCUAUACGACUGGGGACACAUGUCUUAGAAGCACACUCAUUAGAUAAAGUGUCGCAUACUCUUUGAUAAGUGACUCAGAACACCCGUGUCCUUCCCAACAUUGGAUGCAAUGCUAAAGACAUGAUGUUGCUCCUGCUGGACCACACCUUGAAGGAAUUGCCUACCCCACCUCACCUCCAAAAUUAAAGUCUUUCGUUUUGACAAAAGUUAAUGAUAAGGUUUGAUGUGCUAAUUUCAGCACCUCCACUUCAUGUCUACACUGUGGACAUAUACUUUUUUGUUGUUUUGGGGUUUUU